AACGAACGCUGGCGGCAUGCCUAACACAUGCAAGUCGAACGAGACCUUCGGGUCUAGUGGCGCACGGGUGCGUAACGCGUGGGAACCUGCCCUUAGGUUCGGGAUAACUCCCCGAAAGGGGUGCUAAUACCGGAUAAUGUCUUCGGACCAAAGAUUUAUCGCCUUUGGAUGGGCCCGCGUUGGAUUAGCUAGUUGGUAGGGUAAAAGCCUACCAAGGCGACGAUCCAUAGCUGGUCUGAGAGGAUGCUCAGCCACACUGGGACUGAGACACGGCCCAGACUCCUACGGGAGGCAGCAGUGGGGAAUAUUGGACAAUGGGCGAAAGCCUGAUCCAGCAAUGCCGCGUGAGUGAUGAAGGCCUUAGGGUUGUAAAGCUCUUUUACCCGGGAUGAUAAUGACAGUACCGGGAGAAUAAGCUCCGGCUAACUCCGUG
This 433-nucleotide ribosomal RNA is filed under the name uncultured bacterium. Its description in RNAcentral is "partial 16S ribosomal RNA". It matches the Rfam family "Bacterial small subunit ribosomal RNA", at positions 29 to 507 of the family's 1533-position model. The record is from RNAcentral.